ACGUAGGGCGCAAGCGUUGUCCGGAUUCACUGGGUGUAAAGGGUGCGCAGGCGGGCUGGCAAGUCAGCGGUGAAAUCUCGCAGCUCAACUGUGAAACUGCCGUUGAUACUGCCAGUCUUGAGUUCGGGAGAGGUUGAUGGAAUUCCAGGUGUAGCGGUGAAAUGCGUAGAUAUCUGGAAGAACACCGGUGGCGAAGGCGGUCAACUGGCCCGGAACUGACGCUGAGGCACGAAAGCGUGGGGAUCAAACAGGA
This 253-nucleotide ribosomal RNA is filed under the name uncultured prokaryote. Its description in RNAcentral is "partial 16S ribosomal RNA". It matches the Rfam family "Bacterial small subunit ribosomal RNA", at positions 525 to 777 of the family's 1533-position model. The record is from RNAcentral.